GAGUUUGNUCANGGUUCAGAUUGAACGCUGGCGGCAGNCCUAACACAUGCAANUCGAACGGUAACANNUUUAGCUUGNUANUNGCUGACGAGUGGCGGACGGGUGAGUAAUGNUUGGGAANUUCCUUUCGGGNGGGGGAUAACAGUNGGAAANGANUGCUAAUACCGCAUAAUUUNUNCGGNCCAAAGCGGGUUUCGGCUCGCACCUGAAGAGAGGCCCAAGUGAGAUUAGCUAGUUGGUAAGGUAAAGGCUUACCAAGGCGACGAUCUCUAGCUGUUCUGAGAGGAAGAUCAGCCACACUGGGACUGAGACACGGCCCAGACUCCUACGGGAGGCAGCAGUGGGGAAUAUUGCACAAUGGGGGAAACCCUGAUGCAGCCAUGCCGCGUGUGUGAAGAAGGCCUUCGGGUUGUAAAGCACUUUCAGUUGUGAGGAAAGGUUGGUAGUUAAUACCUGCCAGCUGUGACGUUAACAACAG
Molecule: ribosomal RNA, 478 nt
Filed under: Alteromonas sp. SKA23
Lineage: Bacteria; Pseudomonadati; Pseudomonadota; Gammaproteobacteria; Alteromonadales; Alteromonadaceae
Description: partial 16S ribosomal RNA
Rfam family: Bacterial small subunit ribosomal RNA
Source: RNAcentral